CUGAUCCAGCCAUGCCGCGUGUGUGAAGAAGGCCUUCGGGUUGUAAAGCACUUUUAGCGGGGAGGAAGGGUCUUUAUUUAAUACUUG
This 87-nucleotide ribosomal RNA is filed under the name uncultured bacterium. RNAcentral describes it as "partial 16S ribosomal RNA". The record is from RNAcentral.